GCCGACCCAGCUUCGUUGGCCAAGCUGGCUCGGCCAGUUGGGUCAGGUGCGGGGCGCAGCAGGAGGGGAAGAGAAGGAGCGAGAACGCUGGCUUUAGCGGCGGCGGCAGCGGCGGGUUGGGGCCGGCGGAGGCCACCAAAGACGGCGGCAGCGGAUCGCGCUUGCUGCGUGGAUCGGCGUGAAAUAGUAGAGGAGGAGAAUCUAAAAGGCCCGCGGAGGAGCACGCCGACACGGGAUGGGGCGUACCCUCGAUCCCAAACGCGGGGAGCAGCCUCAACUUGAGGCCGCCGGCAGGACCACGAGCCCACCAGUACCAGCGGCGGGGGCGGGGGCGGGAUUGGCGGCGCCUGCGCUCCGUCCGGCGCCGCUCCUUCCUCCUCCUCCUGCUGCUCCUCCAGCAGACGAAGUAGACGAAGCUGCCCCCUCUGGAGCAGCAGACGCUAACCUCCACGCUGCGGCGUCACGCGCUGAAGAAGGUGCGGACCUACCAGUAACUCGCGCGGGGAGGACUAACGUCAGUCACGGCGGCGGCAGAGGUUCGACGUCUCAGGGCAAGGAAAGGCGGGAACGGUGUGUACGACGGUAGACUUUUUCGUAAAAUACGACGACAUAGAAGGGAACCGUAGAUGUCGUUUCUACAAAUGCUACCCUUCCCCGAUAAAUCGCGGCGAGCACAAACCACCUACAAAGCACGAAUACCUGUACUGUUUCAGACCCAAAACCUACCUCCAAACGGGGUCACCGCACGAAGACCCAUACCGCACCUUAGUUCACGGAGGUCGCUACGAUAGAAUUUUCGAUCACGACGAUCACUUCGUUAGCUCUUCCAAAUGGUCCCCGUCAGCCUGUACCUAUCUCCUCUAAUAAAACUUAAUUCAAACCCGUUUUUUCUGGACCUGUCUAGUUUCUUUAUGUAGGUCUGCAACGUCCCACCUGAUUCAUGGGAACUGCAGAUCCUUCCUCUGCGUGACCCGUAGCCGCACGAACGGCUGCUCGUGCCCCCCGGAUCAGGUCACUCUUCCGCACGCCACGUCACGAGCACCGGACGAGAUGUAGGUCGUUACUCCACACGACCGCCUCGUCGUCCUACCCGCUCCGCACUCUAAUCCUAGUCAUC
Molecule: ribosomal RNA, 1117 nt
Filed under: Triticum aestivum (bread wheat)
Lineage: Eukaryota; Viridiplantae; Streptophyta; Magnoliopsida; Poales; Poaceae
Description: partial small subunit ribosomal RNA
Source: RNAcentral